RNAcentral lists this ribosomal RNA (835 nucleotides) under uncultured bacterium. RNAcentral describes it as "bacterial SSU rRNA". It matches the Rfam family "Bacterial small subunit ribosomal RNA", at positions 546 to 1380 of the family's 1533-position model. The record is from RNAcentral.
GGGAUUUAUUGUGGCGUAAAGCGAGCGCAGACGGUUGAUUAAGUCUGAUGUGAAAGCCCGGAGCUCAACUCCGGAAUGGCAUUGGAAACUGGUUAACUUGAGUGUUGUAGAGGUAAGUGGAACUCCAUGUGCAGCGGUGGAAUGCGUAGAUAUAUGGAAGAACACCAGUGGCGAAGGCGGCUUACUGGACAACAACUGACGUUGAGGCUCGAAAGUGUGGGUAGCAAACAGGAUUAGAUACCCUGGUAGUCCACACCGUAAACGAUGAAUACUAGGUGUUAGGAGGUUUCCGCCUCUUAGUGCCGAAGCUAACGCAUUAAGCACUCCGCCUGGGGAGUACGACCGCAAGGUUGAAACUCAAAGGAAUUGACGGGGGCCCGCACAAGCGGUGGAGCAUGUGGUUUAAUUCGAAGCAACGCGAAGAACCUUACCAGGUCUUGACAUCCUUUGACCACUCUAGAGAUAGAGCUUCCCCUUCGGGGGCAAAGUGACAGGUGGUGCAUGGUUGUCGUCAGCUCGUGUCGUGAGAUGUUGGGUUAAGUCCCGCAACGAGCGCAACCCUUAUUGUUAGUUGCCAUCAUUUAGUUGGGCACUCUAGCGAGACUGCCGGUGACAAACCGGAGGAAGGUGGGGAUGACGUCAAAUCAUCAUGCCCCUUAUGACCUGGGCUACACACGUGCUACAAUGGGAAGUACAACGAGUCGCGAAGUCGCGAGGCUAAGCUAAUCUCUUAAAGCUUCUCUCAGUUCGGAUUGUAGGCUGCAACUCGCCUACAUGAAGCCGGAAUCGCUAGUAAUCGCGGAUCAGCACGCCGCGGUGAAUACGUUCCCGGGCC